ACCUCAAAUCAGGUAGGAACACCCGCUGAACUUAAGCAUAUCAAUAAGCGGAGGAAAAGAAAAUAACAAUGAUUCCCCUAGUAACUGCGAGUGAAGAGGGACAAGCUCAAAUUUUAAAUCCAUCGGGUUUUACCCGAUCGAGUUGUAAUUUGAAGAGGCGUUUUCUGUGUUUCUGAUCAGUCCAAGUCCUUUGGGAUAAGGCAUCAUGGAGGGUGAGAAUCCCGUCCGGUUGAUCAGAUUCGCUUUACGAUACGCUUUCUAAGAGUCAAGUUGUUUGGGAUUGCAGCUUAAAAUGGGAGGUAAAUUUCUCCUAAGGCUAAAUAACGGCGAGAGACCGAUAGCGAACAAGUACCGUGAGGGAAAGAUGAAAAGAACUUUGAAAAGAGAGUUAAACAGUACGUGAAAUUGUUGAAAGGGAAACGAUUGAAGCCAGUCGUACCUUCGGGUAAUCAGCCUUUCGGGUGCGAUUAUGUGGAGUGUGAGGAGCUUAAACACCUUCAUGUUUUGCAUAUUCGUACUCUUGGGUGUACUUGCCCGUGUGGUUGGUUAACAUCAAUUUUGGUGGUCAUAAAAUGACUGGAGGAAUGUAGCUUCGAUCUCGUAUUGAAGUGUUAUAGCCUUCGGUAGAUGUGAUGAUCGAGAUUGAGGAUUGCAACGGAUACCCUUCGGGGCUACCUGUCUGGUCUCUGAUCGUUGCUCUGGUGCCGAAAGCUUGCUUACGGUUAUCAAAGUCGAUGGUCAAUAGGUUAGAACGGGUUAAAUUCGUUAAGGAUUGUUGACGUAAUGGCUUUAAACGACCCGUCUUGAAACACGGACCA
RNAcentral lists this ribosomal RNA (818 nucleotides) under Glomus sp. Att1192-44. RNAcentral's name for it is "eukaryotic LSU rRNA". It matches the Rfam family "Eukaryotic large subunit ribosomal RNA", at positions 1 to 668 of the family's 3401-position model. The record is from RNAcentral. Lineage: Eukaryota; Fungi; Glomeromycota; Glomeromycetes; Glomerales; Glomeraceae.